This is a long non-coding RNA of Coffea eugenioides, 333 nucleotides long. RefSeq lists it as uncharacterized. NCBI's taxonomy places the organism in Eukaryota, Viridiplantae, Streptophyta, Magnoliopsida, Gentianales, Rubiaceae. The transcript is spliced from 3 exons. The record is from RefSeq and is a predicted model, not a curated record.
CACAAUCACAUUUUGCUUCUCAUAGAUUGAGGACAAUGGAUUGAAAGUUCACUCAGUCCACGAGGAGGAGAAAAAGAAUCAACUUUCCAGAUAGGGAUCUCGUUUUUCUUCAAAUAGAUUGAGGGAAAAAUGGAAGAAAAGUCGAAGGGAAGAAGAAAAAAUGAUUUAACUUUUCAAGGUAUUUUGUGUUAAGCUUAUUGCUGGUAGUGAUAGGAGGGAAGCUGCUCACUAGCUUUAAGGCUACUUAAGUUUGUUCUAUGUUUAGCCUUUUUCACCUUAAUUAGGUAUGUUUAGUCUUUUGAUGUACUGUUGUUUACUUAAUGUUUCUUUUAC